UACGAAGUGGGCUAGCGUUGCUCGGAAUCACUGGGCGUAAAGCGCACGUAGGCGGCUUUUUAAGUCAGGGGUGAAAUCCUGGAGCUCAACUCCAGAACUGCCCUUGAUACUGAGGAGCUUGAGUUCGGGAGAGGUGAGUGGAACUGCGAGUGUAGAGGUGAAAUUCGUAGAUAUUCGCAAGAACACCAGUGGCGAAGGCGGCUCACUGGCCCGAGACUGACGCUGAGGUGCGAAAGCGUGGGGAGCAAAC
Molecule: ribosomal RNA, 250 nt
Filed under: uncultured bacterium
Lineage: Bacteria
Description: partial 16S ribosomal RNA
Rfam family: Bacterial small subunit ribosomal RNA
Source: RNAcentral